GGCUGGUGCAGGUGCUGGGGGGUCGGGGGGGGACCCUGGGGGGGUCUGUGGGGGGAGCGGGAGCAGCGAGGGGUGCUGUGGGGUCCCCAAAGGCUGUGUCUCCUCCGCAGGGCCCCGGCGUUGGCCAUGGUCACCCUCCUGGUCCUGGCCACCGUGGUGGCCGAUGAGCCCACGAGCACCCUGGACGUGGCCCUUUCUGCAGAAGGACAGACGCCAGAGCCCGUCAGCCCGGCCAAGCUGGAGGCCUCCGGAGAGAGCCUGACCCCCCUGGCCUUGGAGGGUGCGGAGCGUUCUCCCGCCGAGGACUCGAGGGGGGAGUCCCUGGGCAGCGACUCCUCCAGCCUCGACCCCCUCAACAGCGGCUCCUUCAGCGCCGACGCCAGCGCCGGGGAGGCCCGAGGAGGUGGGUGCCCCCCCCGACCUCCCCAC
This 429-nucleotide long non-coding RNA is filed under the name Calidris pygmaea (Spoon-billed sandpiper). RNAcentral's name for it is "lncRNA (ENSCPGG00000017723.1)". Lineage: Eukaryota; Metazoa; Chordata; Aves; Charadriiformes; Scolopacidae. The record is from RNAcentral.